RNAcentral lists this ribosomal RNA (2877 nucleotides) under fish gut metagenome. Its description in RNAcentral is "Bacterial large subunit ribosomal RNA". It matches the Rfam family "Bacterial large subunit ribosomal RNA". The record is from RNAcentral.
UAAGUUACUAAGAGCUUAUGGUGGAUGCCUAGGGACUAGAAGGCGAUGAAGGACGUGCAAAUCUGCGAAAAGAUACGGUGAGUUGAUUAGAAACUGUGACCCGUAUAUCUCCGAAUGAGGAAACUCAGCUAGUAGUAAUGCUAGUUAUCUUUAACUGAAUACAUAGGUUAUUGAAGCAAUACCUUGUGAAGUGAAACAUCUCAGUAGCAAGAGGAAAAGAAAACGAAGUGAUUCCGUAAGUAGUGGCGAGCGAAAGCGGAACAGGCCAAACCGAUAUUUAUAUCGGGGUUGUAGGACUACAAUGUGGACUUAAGAUGGAUAGUAGAAAUAGUUGGGAAGCUAUGUCAUAGAAGGUGAAAACCCUGUAUACGAAAUUCAUUUUAUACCUAGUAGGAUCCUGAGUACGGCGGGACACGAGAAAUCCUGUCGGAAUCUGCCCAGACCAUUGGGUAAGCCUAAAUACUAACUAGUCACCGAUAGCGUAUAGUACCGUGAGGGAAAGGUGAAAAGAACCCAGAGAUGGGAGUGAAAUAGAAUCUGAAACCAUAAGCUUACAACGUGUCAGAGCACAUUAAUGUGUGAUGGCGUGCGUUUUGAAGAAUGAGCCGGCGAGUUAUUUUAGCAUGCAAGGUUAAGCUGUAGAAGUGGAGCCGUAGGGAAACCGAGUCUUAAUAGGGCGAUAUAGUAUGUUGAGAUAGACCCGAAACGAGAUGAUCUAGCCAUGGGCAGGUUGAAGUCUGGGUAACACCAUAUGGAGGACCGAACCGACGUUCGUUGAAACGACCGCGGAUGACCUGUGGUUAGUGGUGAAAUUCCAAUCGAAUCUCGUGAUAGCUGGUUCUCACCGAAAUAAUUUUAGGAUUAGCGUUAGAUAAUUGAUAUAUGAAGGUAAAGCACUGAAUACCUGAUGGCGCCACCUAGGUGUACUGAAUGUAAUCAAACUCUGAAUGUCAUAUAUUUUAUUCUAGCAGUUAGACUAUGGGGGAUAAGCUUCAUAGUCGCGAGGGAAACAGCCCAGAUCGUUAGCUAAGGUCCCAAAUAUAUACUAAGUGGAAAAGGAUGUUGAAAUACUUAAACAGCUAGGAUGUUGGCUUAGAAGCAGCCAUCGUUUAAAGAGUGCGUAAUAGCUCACUAGUCGAGUGUUUCUGCGCCGAAGAUUUAACGGGGCUAAGUAUAUAACCGAAGCUACGAACUACAUUUAUGUAGUGGUAGGUGAGCGUUCUAUGCAGGAUGAAGGUAGAUCGUGAGAACUACUGGACAGCAUAGAAGUGAGAAUGCCGGCGUGAGUAACGUAUGAAAGUGAGAAUCUUUCAAGCCGUAUUGACUAAGGUUUCCAGGAGUAGGUUCGUCCAUCCUGGGUUAGUCGGUCCUAAGGCCAGGCCGAGAGGCGUAGUCGAUGGGAAACAGGUUAAUAUUCCUGUACCAAUAAUAUGAGUGAUGGAGUGACGGAGAAGGUUAAUAUGGGCCCAUUAUCGGAUUUGGGUUUAAAUAUCGAGUCUUGCAAGUUGGCAAAUCCGCUUGCUUUAAGGACGAGGUAUGAGUACAAGGGAUCUCUUCGGAGUGAACAAAGCCAUAUAUAUCACGCUUCCAAGAAAAGCUUCUAACUUUAUCAUAUUAUUGUCCGUACCGAGAACGAACACACGUGGUCAAGGAGAGUAUCCUAAGGCUAGCGAGUUAACUAUUGUUAAGGAACUCUGCAAAUUAAUCCCGUACGUUCGCAAUAAGGGAUGCUUAUUUUAUAUAAGCCGCAGUGAAGAGCGAGAGGGGACUGUUUAACAAAAACACAGCUUUAUGCUAAACCGUAAGGUGAUGUAUAUGAGGUGACACCUGCCCAGUGCUGGAAGGUUAAGGAUGGAUGUUAGGUAUUUAUACCGAAGCUUCUUACCGAAGCCCUAGUGAACGGCGGCCGUAACUAUAACGGUCCUAAGGUAGCGAAAUUCCUUGUCGGGUAAAUUCCGUCCCGCUUGAAUGGUGUAACCAUCUCUUGACUGUCUCGACAAUAGACUCGGUGAAAUCCCGGUUAGGGUGAAGACGCCCUAUAGGCGCGAUUGGACAAAAAGACCCCAUGAAGCUUUACUGUAGCUUAAUAUUGGGAAAGUUUAAUUCAUUUAGAGUAUAGGUAGGAGACUUUGAAGCGCAUUCGCUAGGAUGUGUGGAGUCACCAUUGGAAUACUACCAUUGAAUUAAGUUUUCUCUAACUUACCUCCAUGAAUCUGGAGGUAGAACAGUGUUAGGUGGGCAGUUUGACUGGGGCGGUCGCCUCCCAAAAUGUAACGGAGGCGCGCAACGGUACCCUCAAUAUGGUUGGAAAUCAUAUGCAGAGUGUAAUGGUAUAAGGGUGCUUGACUGCGAGACUUACAAGUCGAGCAGGUAGGAAACUAGGUCAUAGUGAUCCGGUGGUUCCGUAUGGAAGGGCCAUCGCUCAACGGAUAAAAGCUACUCUGGGGAUAACAGGUUAAUAGUGCCCAAGAGUUCAUAUCGACGGCACUGUUUGACACCUCGAUGUCGACUCAUCUCAUCCUGGAGCUGAAGCAGGUUCCAAGGGUUCGGCUGUUCGCCGAUUAAAGAGAUACGUGAGUUGGGUUCAAACCGUCGUGAGACAGGUUGGUUUUUAUCUGUCGUGCCCGUUAGAAAAUUGAGAAGAUCUGCUCCUAGUACGAGAGGACCAGAGUGGAGAUACCUCUAGUGUUCCAGUUGUCAUGCCAAUGGCAUAGCUGGGUAGCUACGUAUCGAAUAGAUAAACGCUGAAAGCAUCUAAGUGUGAAGCUAACUUCAAGAUUAAUUUUCUUUAAGAAUCGUUGAAGACUACGACGUUGAUAGGUUGGAGGUGUACGCAUGGUGACAUGUUUAGCUGACCAAUACUAAUUAUUCGAAAAC